This is a long non-coding RNA of Triticum aestivum (bread wheat), 843 nucleotides long. RefSeq lists it as uncharacterized. Lineage: Eukaryota; Viridiplantae; Streptophyta; Magnoliopsida; Poales; Poaceae. The record is from RefSeq and is a predicted model, not a curated record. The transcript is spliced from 2 exons.
AAAAGUUCUCCAUCAAACCCACUUUUUGCUGUUUGGUAGAGUGCAUGGGCUCUUGUGGGCUAUGCUCAACCGAUGCAAAAAGGGCCCUCAGCUAUGCUCGCUCGAGCACCCCCAGCCAGGCGAGCCGGGGUCAGCUAGGCUGCGUUAGACCCACGGCCCCCUCGAACGACCACCCCUCCCGAACCCCACCUCUCCCUCGUGACUCCAUUUUUGACCUAGCCGCCCCUCUUCAACCUCGUCGCCGCCGCCGUGGGAGCUGCCACGCCUGAGCUCCGUCCAGUUCGUCCACCCCCGUGGCGACGGCGACUGGCGGCGCGCGAGUCCUCGCGGGGCUGCGCUUACGGCGACGCGGGCGUGACGCGGGACCGCAGUAGACGCUGGAGUUUGCCAACGAGCUGCUGCUGUUGGUCAACGGGAGGAGGUCGAUCGCGAUCUGGAGUGCCUGACAGUGCUCCUCGAUCUGACAGUGCUCCCCGAUCUGGAGAUGCUACCGCCGCUGCACCUCACACACUCCCUGUUGAUCCAUUCCUCACUCUGUUUUACUUGUUCCUUCCUCUUGAUUUUGAUUGGAAUUGGUAAUAGUUCUGCUGCAUGAUGCGUUCGUCACGUUCAGGUUCAGUAGGUUCAGUAGUAGUUGCAGCACUACUGAAGCACAAGAAGAAAUCGACUUCUGCAGUGUUAUGCAAUUGUUAUUGUCUAACUGGAAUCCAAUAAAGCUAUGUAAUAUGAAUCUAGUGAUGUUAUAUUGCUGAGAUUAUGUUUAUUGUUCCAAUAUGCUGAGAUAUGAAUCUAGUAAUUGUUUCUUCAUAUUUAUAUAUAGCUGAAAUAAUCUUUCAUCGUCCA